AAUUUGAAGUGCCUGACUGGGUGGCCGGGAGACGGAGUCUCGGGGUCGCGUGCACCUGGGCGGCCAGGGAGGCUCCAGUGCCCGGGAGAAAGGCAAGAAAACUGAGGCACAGAGAGAUUGUCACACAGCCAGUAAGGUUUCUUUCAAAAUGAAGAUUCACGCAGUGAUUGUAACUGUCUUGAUGAGCCAGGUUGUAGUUUACAAAGUUUUAUUCCAGAAGGAAAAAAGCCACUUCACCUAGAAAUUUUGCAAACAAAUCAACUUUUACUCUGUGAGUAAUCCAGGGCCUAUCAAGACUACAUUUUAGUUGACUGCAAGGCCUCUGAGGCACGGGAAUUCACAGCUGAGUUCUUGGAGAAGGUCCUUGAGCCAUCUGGAUGGCGGACAGUCUGGCACAUGAUGUGCUCAAGGUGCUGCUUGAGGCCACAGAUGUGGACAUUUCAGCCUUGAAGGCAGUGGUGCAGCUUGCUGAGCCAUACCUCUGUGAAUCUUGAGCGAGUACUUUCACCUUGGAGUGUGUGAAAGAGCUCCUCGAGCUGAAGGAACAUCAGUUGCCCCUGAAGGAGCUGGGUGGUGUUUGAUGAUUCUGGAGACAGCACUUGUAACUUGUAACUGAGCAUGUCAGCUAGGAAGGAGGUAUCUGGUCAGAGAAGGUGUUUUCUGAGGCUGCUUCCUGGAUCCCUAGGGUUUGUGUUCCUGCCAUUCAGCCUAUUUGGCAGUUAUUUCCACCUGUACAAACAGACCCUUUGUCCCUUACAUGAGAAAGAAAGCCCACACCUGGAUUCAUAUUAAUAGGAUAUGGUCUACCAAUUAAUAUUGUGAUAGAAAAGAGGGAAAAAGGUGACACUUCUGUGGACUGCAUGAAUGAGGAUAUUAACAUCUCAGGCAUAAGAUUUGUUCAGCAUGGUGUUAUAAAAGAAAUCUUAAAUGUCUGACUGUUUGGUGUAUUUACUCAUUCUAGGCUUUGAAGGAAAACUUUACUUUCUAUGGAAGAUAGAAUUUAAUGAAAUGCCACUGUUGAGUACAGGAAUACCUAGUUGUAUUGUGCUUUGCAGAUAUUGAAUGUUUUAUACAUUGAAGGUUUGUGGUAACCCUGCUUCGAGUAAGUCUACUUGGCCUCAUUUUUCCAAUAACUGGUGCUCACUUUAUGCCUUUGUGUGACAUUUUGGUAAUUCUCACAAUAUUUCAAAUGUUUUUAUUAUUAUUAUAUUUGUUAUGCUGAUCUGUGACCAGUGGUCUUUGAUAUUACCACUGUAAUUGUUUUGGGGUGAUGUGAACUGCAUCACCAUAGAAAAAUGGUGAACUUAGUAAGUGUUGUGUGUGUUCUGACUAUUCCAACAAUCAGCCAUGCCCCCUUCUCUCUCCCUCUUCUUGGGCUUCUCUAUUCUGAGACAAAGCAAUAUAGAAAGGAGACCAAUUAAUAACCCUACAAUGACAUCUAUGUGUUCAAGUGAAAGGAAGAGUUGCAUGUCCCUCACAUUAAACAAAGUCUAGAAAUGAUUAAGCCUAGUGAGAAAGGCACAUCAAAAGCCAAACACAUGAAUAAGAGAGCAAAACAGCCUUAUUACUAAUAUGGAGAAAGUUUUAGUUGUCAGCAUAGAAGAUUAAAUCAACUACAACAUUCCCUUAAGCAUAAGCCUACACAGCAAGGUCCUAACUCUUUUUAAUUCUGUGAAGGCUGAGAGAGUCAAGGGAGCUACAGAAGAAAAAGUUGGCUAGCAGAGGUUGGUUCAUGAGGUUUAAGGAAAGAAGUCAUCUCUGUAACAUAAAAGUGCAAGGUGAAGCAGUAGUUUCUAUUGUAGAAGCUGCGGAAAGCUAUCCAGAAGAGCUAGCUGAAGUCACUGAUGAAGGUGGCUACACUAAACAGCAGAUUUUCAGUGUAGAUGAAAUGGCCUUCUAUUGGAAGAAGAUGCAUCUAGGACUUUUCAUAACUAGAGAAAAGUCAUUAGUUGGCUUCAAAGCUUCAAAAGACAGGCCAAUUCUCUUACUGGUGACUUUAACUUGAAUCAGUGGUCAAUUACAAUUCUGAAAAUCUUAGGGCCCUUAAGAAUUAUGCUAUGUCUAUUCUGCCUGUGCUCUAGAAAUGGAACAACAAAGCCUGAGUGGUAGCAAAUCCGUUUAUUGCAUUGUUUGCUGAAUAUUUCAAGCCCACUGUUGAGACGCACUGCUCAGAAAAAAAAAAAAAAAUCCUUCCAAAAUAUUGCUUACCGAACAAUGCACCUGGUCACCUGAGAGCUCUGACGGAAAUGUGCGAGGAGAUUAAUAUUCUUUUCAUGCUAACACAACAUCCAUUCUGCAGCCCAUGGAUCAAGGAGUAAUUUCAACUUUCAAGUCUUAAUAUUUAAGAAAUAGACUUCAUAAAGUAUAGCUUCAAUUGAUAGUGAUUUCUCUGAUGGAUCUGGGCAAAGUCAAUUGAAAACCUUCUGGGAAGGAUUCACCACUUAGAUGUCAUUAAGAACAUUCAAGACUCAUGAGAGGAGGUCAGAAUGUCAACAUUAACAUUGGGUUUGGGAGAAAUUGAUUCCAACACUCCCAAACUCUUUGAGGGUCAAGAAGUCAGUGGAGGAAGUAACUGCAGAUGAGUGGAAAUACUAAGAGAACCAGAAUUAGAAGUGGAGCCUGGUGAUGGGACUGAGUUGCUACAAUCUUAUGACAAAACUUGAACAGGUGAGGAGUUGCUUCUUACGGAUGAGCAAAGAAGAUGAUUUCUUGAGAUGGAAUCUACUCCUGGUAAAGAGAAUGAAUAUUGUUGAAAUGACAACAAAGGAUUUAGCAUAGUACGUCAGUGUAGUUGAUAAAGCAGAGGAGGGCUUUGAGAUGAUCAACUCCUAUUUUGAAAAACAUUCUUCUGUGAGUAAAAUGCUAUCAUAACAUCGCAUUACAUGCUACUGAGAAAUCUUUUUCGAAAGGAGGGGUCAAUGCGGCAAACUGUUCGUCUUAUUUUAAGAAAUUGCCACAGCCAGCCCAACCUUCAGCAACCACUAUCCUGAUCAGUCAGCAGCCGUCAACAUUGAGGCAAGACCCUCCACCAGCAAAAAAGAUUAUGAUUUUCUGAAGGUCAGAUGAUCCUUGUAUGUUUUAGCAAA
Molecule: long non-coding RNA, 3086 nt
Filed under: Homo sapiens (human)
Lineage: Eukaryota; Metazoa; Chordata; Mammalia; Primates; Hominidae
Description: non-protein coding lnc-UQCRFS1-3:14
Source: RNAcentral